AGAGUUUGAUCAUGGCUCAGGACGAACGCUGGCGGCGUGCCUAACACAUGCAAGUCGAGCGGGGAUGUACUGAAAGCUUGCCGGAUGUACAUCCUAGCGGCGGACGGGUGAGUAACGCGUGGGCAACCUGCCUUCUACUGGGGGAUAACACAGGGAAACUUGUGCUAAUACCGCAUAAUAUCACAUGGGGCAUCCUGUGUGAUCAAAGGAGCAAUCCGGUGGAAGAUGGGCCCGCGUCCGAUUAGCUAGUUGGUGAGGUAACGGCUCACCAAGGCGACGAUCGGUAGCCGGACUGAGAGGUUGGCCGGCCACAUUGGGACUGAGACACGGCCCAGACUCCUACGGGAGGCAGCAGUGGGGAAUAUUGCGCAAUGGGGGAAACCCUGACGCAGCGACGCCGCGUGAAGGAAGAAGGCCUUCGGGUUGUAAACUUCUUUGAUGAGGGACGAACGAAAUGACGGUACCUCAAAAACAAGCCACGGCUAACUACGUGCCAGCAGCCGCGGUAAUACGUAGGUGGCGAGCGUUGUCCGGAAUUACUGGGUGUAAAGGGCGUGUAGGCGGGGAUGCAAGUCAGAUGUGAAAUUCCGAGGCUCAACCUCGGCGCUGCAUCUGAAACUGUGUCUCUUGAGUGUCGGAGAGGAAAGCGGAAUUCCCAGUGUAGCGGUGAAAUG
Molecule: ribosomal RNA, 674 nt
Filed under: uncultured bacterium
Lineage: Bacteria
Description: bacterial SSU rRNA
Rfam family: Bacterial small subunit ribosomal RNA
Source: RNAcentral